This is a non-coding RNA of Epinephelus lanceolatus (giant grouper), 3550 nucleotides long. Lineage: Eukaryota; Metazoa; Chordata; Actinopteri; Perciformes; Serranidae. The record is from RefSeq and is a predicted model, not a curated record.
AUAUCUUUAUUAUCAUUUAAAAACGAAAAUUAAAAUGACCGGUAAAAAUAGAUUAUGACCGGAUUUUUAUGACCUUGUCGGUCAAAAUGACCAGCGACGAAAAAGUCUAGUGCAACGUCUGCUCCAACAUGAACUGAAACUUUGGAGCUUCGAACAUACUGCUGAAAAUAAAAACAUAUACAACACUGAAAUGACUCCCUGAGAUGGGGUCUUUUUUGUGACCCUGUUGUGGCCGUGAUGUCCCGACGGCUCUGAGGGAUUUCCUUCCUCUCCUAUAAGGGGCAGAGGGCCCUCAAAAAGAGAAAAUGAGUGGUACUGCAUAAUAACUAUUGCCCCCAUAAUAGAUUAUUUAAUACAGUAUGCAUACCUAGGAGACAGAGUCCAAUAUUCAGAGGAAACGUAAGCAAAUUAUAACCCGACUUUCUCAGAUACAUUUGGAAAAAAACAAUCAAUUAACAAAAUAAUGUUUUGACAAUCAAAAUCGUUAACCUGUUCGGACCCAGUCUCUUUCAUCCACAAGGAUUUACUCUAGAUGGCAAAGUCACUUUCUUCUGCUCCUGCUGCAGAGACAAAGUCAGUUACUUUCUCCUGAAAGCGUCCAGCUUCUCCUUAUAACCCGUGCGCGCUGCGGCUGUCUCAACGUCUUUUCCCCGGAGAGACGUGUGCCACGUCAGGCGCUUGAUUUUCUCCUCCCAGCUCUCCGGCGGCUUGAACACUUUCACAGGUAGUCCCUUUGCUGCCAUAUCCACAGUUGCCUCCUCGGCCGAGUUGUAGAGUUUAGUUUCGUCUUGAAAAAAUACUCUCAGUCUGGCUGGGAAUGGCGUCUGGAAUCUUAUUUUUUUCUCCUUCAACACCCGUUUUGCCUCUGCGUAAUCCUUGCGUUUUUUCAAAACCUCCGGAGCAUAGUCGUGAUCUAUAUUCACUCUUUUCUCUUUGAAAACAAAGCCACGUUUUUGCCAGGCUGUCUUCACGAUGUCCUCUUUGGAGCGGUGGCUAGCAAACUUGACCACAAUCGAUCUUGGCAGUGCGUCAUGUGGAGGUCGGGGACCCAGAGCGCGGUGUGCCUUUUCGAUGUGCAGGUCUGUGGAGGGUGGAAGGUCCAGGUUUUCUUUCAGUAGCGUUUUGACAAAGGAAAUCACAGAGGCUGUGCUAUCUUCAGCCCCUUCGCAGACACCGUGGAUCCUAAUAUUGUCCCUUCUGGCUCGGCCCUCCUGAUCUUGCCUCCAGGUGAGUCUGUCGUUUAAGCAUCUCCAGUAUCGCUCCCUCCACUCCUUGUACUCUCUUCCGCCUCGGCAAUUCGCACUUCUGCCUCAUUAAUCCUGUUGUUAGUCUUGUUAAUCUCUUCCUUAAUGUCCUUCAACGUGUCUCCGUUCUCUCUGCGAAACUCUCAAUUCUUGGAGAAUCACGUCCAAGUCUGCCAUGUUUUUUUCCUCGCUUAGUCCCUCUGUAGCAAGCUGGCUAGUGCUAAUGCUAGCGCUAGUUUCUUCUUCGAGAAACUUGUCGGUCACAGGGUAUUGUCUCGAGUCUCUACCUUGUCCCGGCUUUUUCUGCUGUAUCCUAGGCAUGUUAUAUGCCCCUACAACUAAUUAUACCAAUUUACAGUGUUAUCUGACCAAGUAACUGGGGCUUUAAAAAUUAGCUUGGGGGGGCUGCGGGAUUAGCGUGUUGCCUCCAUGGCCGCUCAACCGGAAGUCCGGGGUAAAUAUCUUGUAUAUUGAUAAGUAUUCCUUUACGUUAUGCAUUCAAAACAUUACAAAGUAUGUAAGUAAAUUAACAACUACUCAAUGUGCAUUAAAAUGAUCCCUGUCAGUGUUUUAGCUUUGUAUUAAUAUCGCUUUAAUGUGUGUUAUAAUUUAAUGCUGUAGAUGUUUAAGGUUGAGGAAAAAGGAAAAAAACGAGAGAAAAGGAGAGGAAGACAACGAAAAAAAGGGACAGAAGAAGAAAAAAGGGAGAGGGAGACAACGAGUAAAUGGGACAGAAGAAGAAAAAAGGGAGAGGAAGACAACGUGUAAAAGGACAUAAGUAUGAAAAAAGGGAGAAAGACUGACAGAAAGGGACAGGAAGAGAAAAAGAAAAAAGGGAAAGGAAGACAACGAAAAAAAGUGACAGGAAGAGAGAGGGCCAAAAGGUACAAAAUAAUACAUGUGUAUUCUGUUAAAAUUUAUGUAUCUGUAUAAUUGACCUGUUGUUGUUUUGUGUGUUAUCUUCUCAUUUCAGCACCACAACAUAGAGGACAGCAUCUACUUGCUGAACCUGCUUGCUGCUGCUGCCCAUAUUUGAGCUGUGUAAAGCACCACAGCAAUAAAAGGAUCAAUAAAGGAUGUGGAGGGCCCCAAGCCUGUCUUCGCCUGGGCCCCAAAAUGACUAACUCAGACCCUGCUUAAAGCAACACUUACCUUUCUGGAAAUUUUCUUUGUUUAGGUUAAAAUGCUAUUAAUAAGCAGAUGGCACACUAAAAUGUAAGUGAAUUCCACCAGAAAUAAAAACUCAUAAUUGUACCAUUCUCAAAUGGUUCUAAGAAACGUCAAGGAGGUCAAGUCAAACAUCAUAAUGGACUAUCCCAGUAUUUCAGAUACUCCAAUAGAAGAAACUAUGUUGAAAGCAAAGGUACAAAAGGGAUUAAUAUCAAGAUUGUAUAAUACUAAUACUAAUACUAAUAAUAAUAUAAACAAUGGAAUGAACCAUAAUUCAGCACGACAUAAAUACAAGUGGGAAAAAGAUGUGGGACACGAAUACACGCUGAAGGAAUGGGAAGAUCUAUUGGAGAAAAAAAAGUUUGGUUAACACCAAACAUAGACUUAUGCAGUUUAACAUAUUUCACCAUGUGUAUUAUACUCCCCCAGGCUACAGCAGUUGAGUCCUAAUACACCAUCUUAAUGCCCAAGAUGUAAUGCAGAUAAUGGUGAUAUGAUACACAUGUUUUGGAGGUGCACACACUUGGAAGGAUUUUGGAAUAAAGUUUAUAAAUAUACAUCUGAAAUAUUACAGAAAAGAAUUAUCCUGGACCCCAGAAUAUCAAUUUUGGGUGAUGUAGAAAUGUGUAAAGAAGUUAAUAAUGAUGAAAAAAAAAUAUUAUUAUUAAUAAUGACAGCAGCAAAAAAAUACAUAUUACUUAAUUGGAAAUCCAAAUAUGUACCUCCAAUAACACAAUGGGGGAAGAGAACUACUCUCAUACUGCACUCCAGAAAAAAUCAUGUAUAAUGUUAAAGGUCAAUCAAUGAAAUUUGAUAAGAUAUGGGGCAAACUUGUUAAUAAUAUAAAAAGAUAGAAGGGCAGAUAUUGCUUUAGAUUAAUUUAUGGAUAUUUCUUGUGUGUAUGUAGGUUAUGAGAGAAUAUAUUUUUGUAUUUGAAUUAAGAUUAUAAUGAAAUGAUGUUGGUAGGACAAAGAGAAUGUUGAAUAUGUACAUAUGAUGGGUGGGGAAGGUAUGGGGUAAAGGAACGAGUAAAUGUUUUUUAGCUUGUUUGUUCUUUUUUUUGUGUAAACGAUAAUGAUUGUAUUGACACAUGCAAAAAAGAAAAACCCAAUAAAAUGCAAUUUAAAAAAAAAAAA